UACGGAGGGUGCAAGCGUUGUUCGGAAUUAUUGGGCGUAAAGGGCGUGUAGGUGGCAUCCCAAGUCUGGUGUGAAAUCCCACGGCUCAACCGUGGAACUGCAUUGGAAACUGGGACGCUCGAGGGUUGGAGGGGGUCGCGGAAUUCCCGGUGUAGAGGUGAAAUUCGUAGAUAUCGGGAGGAACACCAGUGGCGAAGGCGGCGACCUGGCCAAUCACUGACACUGAGACGCGAAAGCGUGGGGAGCAAACAGG
RNAcentral lists this ribosomal RNA (253 nucleotides) under uncultured bacterium. RNAcentral's name for it is "partial 16S ribosomal RNA". It matches the Rfam family "Bacterial small subunit ribosomal RNA", at positions 524 to 776 of the family's 1533-position model. The record is from RNAcentral.